This 520-nucleotide ribosomal RNA is filed under the name uncultured Vagococcus sp. RNAcentral describes it as "partial 16S ribosomal RNA". Lineage: Bacteria; Bacillati; Bacillota; Bacilli; Lactobacillales; Enterococcaceae. The record is from RNAcentral.
CACGUAGUUAGCCGUGGCUUUCUGGUUAGAUACCGUCAAGGUGAGAACAGUUACUCUCCCACUUGUUCUUCUCUAACAACAGAGUUUUACGAUCCGAAAACCUUCUUCACUCACGCGGCGUUGCUCGGUCAGACUUUCGUCCAUUGCCGAAGAUUCCCUACUGCUGCCUCCCGUAGGAGUCUGGGCCGUGUCUCAGUCCCAGUGUGGCCGAUCACCCUCUCAGGUCGGCUAUGCAUCACGGUCUUGGUAGGCCAUUACCCCACCAACUAACUAAUGCAGCGCGGGCCCAUCCAACAGUGACACCGUAAGGCGUCUUUUAUUAUUCUCCCAUGCGGGAAAACAAAUUAUGCGGUAUUAGCACCUGUUUCCAAGUGUUAUCCCCCUCUGUCGGGCAGGUUGCCCACGUGUUACUCACCCGUCCGCCACUCUUUGCUUUUCAGUGGAGCAAGCUCCGGUAAAAAGCAAAGCGUUCGACUUGCAUGUAUUAGGCACGCCGCCAGCGUUCGUCCUGUAGCCACGG